UGACGAGUGGCGGACGGGUGAGUAAUGUCUGGGAAACUGCCUGAUGGAGGGGGACAACUACUGGAAACGGUGGCUAAUACCGCAUAACGUCGCAAGACCAAAGAGGGGGACCUUCGGGCCUCUUGCCAUCAGAUGUGCCCAGAUGGGAUUAGCUUGUUGGUGAGGUAACGGCUCACCAAGGCGACGAUCCCUAGCUGGUCUGAGAGGAUGACCAGCCACACUGGAACUGAGACACGGUCCAGACUCCUACGGGAGGCAGCAGUGGGGAAUAUUGCACAAUGGGCGCAAGCCUGAUGCAGCCAUGCCGCGUGUAUGAAGAAGGCCUUCGGGUUGUAAAGUACUUUCAGCGGGGAGGAAGGUGUUGUGGUUAAUAACCGCAGCAAUUGACGUUACCCGCAGAAGAAGCACCGGCUAACUCCGUGCCAGCAGCCGCGGUAAUACGGAGGGUGCAAGCGUUAAUCGGAAUUACUGGGCGUAAAGCGCACGCAGGCGGUCUGUCAAGUCGGAUGUGAAAUCCCCGGGCUCAACCUGGGAACUGCAUUCGAAACUGGCAGGCUUGAGUCUUGUAGAGGGGGGUAGAAUUCCAGGUGUAGCGGUGAAAUGCGUAGAGAUCUGGAGGAAUACCGGUGGC
This 631-nucleotide ribosomal RNA is filed under the name Salmonella enterica subsp. enterica serovar Typhi. RNAcentral describes it as "bacterial SSU rRNA". It matches the Rfam family "Bacterial small subunit ribosomal RNA", at positions 89 to 716 of the family's 1533-position model. Lineage: Bacteria; Pseudomonadati; Pseudomonadota; Gammaproteobacteria; Enterobacterales; Enterobacteriaceae. The record is from RNAcentral.